This 62-nucleotide transfer RNA is filed under the name Taenia asiatica. It matches the Rfam family "tRNA", at positions 1 to 51 of the family's 71-position model. Rfam says of the family: Transfer RNA (tRNA) molecules are approximately 80 nucleotides in length. Their secondary structure includes four short double-helical elements and three loops (D, anti-codon, and T loops). The record is from Rfam by way of RNAcentral. Lineage: Eukaryota; Metazoa; Platyhelminthes; Cestoda; Cyclophyllidea; Taeniidae.
GUCGCGAUGGCCGAGUGGUUAAGGCGAUGGACUUGAAAUCCAUUGGGGAUUCCCCGCGUAGG